CCUACGGGAGGCAGCAGUGAGGAAUAUUGGUCAAUGGACGAGAGUCUGAACCAGCCAAGUAGCGUGAAGGAUGACUGCCCUAUGGGUUGUAAACUUCUUUUAUAUGGGAAUAAAAUGUUCCACGUGUGGGAUUUUGUAUGUACCAUAUGAAUAAGGAUCGGCUAACUCCGUGCCAGCAGCCGCGGUAAUACGGAGGAUCCGAGCGUUAUCCGGAUUUAUUGGGUUGCAAGGGAGCGUAGGUGGAUUGUUACGUCAGUUGUGAAAGUUUGCGGCUCAACCGGAAAAUUGCAGUUGAAACUGGCAGUCUUGAUUCCAGUAUCGGUGGGCGGCAUUCGUGUUGUAGCGGUGCACUGCUUCGCUCUCACG
Molecule: ribosomal RNA, 366 nt
Filed under: uncultured bacterium
Lineage: Bacteria
Description: partial 16S ribosomal RNA
Rfam family: Bacterial small subunit ribosomal RNA
Source: RNAcentral